This 730-nucleotide ribosomal RNA is filed under the name uncultured bacterium. RNAcentral describes it as "bacterial SSU rRNA". It matches the Rfam family "Bacterial small subunit ribosomal RNA", at positions 771 to 1501 of the family's 1533-position model. The record is from RNAcentral.
AACAGGAUUAGAUACCCUGGUAGUCCACGCCGUAAACGAUGUCGACUUGGAGGUUGUGCCCUUGAGGCGUGGCUUCCGGAGCUAACGCGUUAAGUCGACCGCCUGGGGAGUACGGCCGCAAGGUUAAAACUCAAAUGAAUUGACGGGGGCCCGCACAAGCGGUGGAGCAUGUGGUUUAAUUCGAUGCAACGCGAAGAACCUUACCUACUCUUGACAUCCAGAGAACUUAGCAGAGAUGCUUUGGUGCCUUCGGGAACUCUGAGACAGGUGCUGCAUGGCUGUCGUCAGCUCGUGUUGUGAAAUGUUGGGUUAAGUCCCGCAACGAGCGCAACCCUUAUCCUUUGUUGCCAGCGGUUAGGCCGGGAACUCAAAGGAGACUGCCAGUGAUAAACUGGAGGAAGGUGGGGAUGACGUCAAGUCAUCAUGGCCCUUACGAGUAGGGCUACACACGUGCUACAAUGGCGCAUACAAAGAGAAGCGACCUCGCGAGAGCAAGCGGACCUCAUAAAGUGCGUCGUAGUCCGGAUUGGAGUCUGCAACUCGACUCCAUGAAGUCGGAAUCGCUAGUAAUCGUAGAUCAGAAUGCUACGGUGAAUACGUUCCCGGGCCUUGUACACACCGCCCGUCACACCAUGGGAGUGGGUUGCAAAAGAAGUAGGUAGCUUAACCUUCGGAAGGGCGCUUACCGCUUUGUGAUUCAUGACUGGGGUGAAGUCGUAACAAGGUAACC